RNAcentral lists this ribosomal RNA (448 nucleotides) under uncultured bacterium. RNAcentral describes it as "bacterial SSU rRNA". It matches the Rfam family "Bacterial small subunit ribosomal RNA", at positions 46 to 507 of the family's 1533-position model. The record is from RNAcentral.
GCCUAACACAUGCAAGUCGAACGGAUUGUAGCAAUACAGUCAGCGGCGAACGGGUGAAUAACGCGUGGGAACCUGCCUUGGAGUUCGGAAUAACCGCGGGAAACUGCGGGCUAAUACCGGGAUACGACCUGAGGGUGAAAGCAGCAAUGCGCUCCAAGAGGGGCCCGCGUCCGAUUAGCUAGUUGGUGGGGUAACGGCCUACCAAGGCGAUGAUCGGUAGCUGGGUCUGAGAGGAUGAUCAGCCACACUGGAACUGAGACACGGUCCAGACUCCUACGGGAGGCAGCAGUGGGGAAUAUUGGACAAUGGGCGAAAGCUGAUCCAGCCAUGCCGCGUGUGUGAAGAAGGUCUUCGGAUUGUAAAGCACUUUAAGUUGGGAGGAAGGGUAGUAACCUAAUACGUUGCUACUUUGACGUUACCGACAGAAUAAGCACCGGCUAACUUCGUG